CCUACGGGUGGCUGCAGUGAGGAAUAUUGGUCAAUGGACGCAAGUCUGAACCAGCCAUGUCGCGUGCAGGAUGACGGCCCUAUGGGUUGUAAAGCACUUUCGCCAGAGAUGAUAAUGACAGUAUCUGGUAAAGAAACCCCGGCUAACUCCGUGCCAGCAGCCGCGGUAAUACGGAGGGGGUUAGCGUUGUUCGGAAUUACUGGGCGUAAAGCGCACGUAGGCGGAUUAAAAAGUUGGGGGUGAAAUCCCGGGGCUCAACCCCGGAACUGCCUCCAAAACUAGUAGUCUAGAGUUCGAGAGAGGUGAGUGGAAUUCCAAGUGUAGAGGUGAAAUUCGUAGAUAUUUGGAGGAACACCAGUGGCGAAGGCGGCUCACUGGCUCGAUACUGACGCUGAGGUGCGAAAGCGUGGGGAGCGAACAGGAUUAGAUACCCCAGUAGU
Molecule: ribosomal RNA, 440 nt
Filed under: uncultured bacterium
Lineage: Bacteria
Description: bacterial SSU rRNA
Rfam family: Bacterial small subunit ribosomal RNA
Source: RNAcentral